GCAUGAAGGUGCUGAGUCAUUCAGUCAUUAAACUGUAAGUCAUUCAGUCAUUACACCGUAAACACCUGUACUGCUUUGUGCAGAAGUAUAAAGGUCAGUAAGGGUUGAACACUGCUUUUAAGGAUUUCAGUGGAUUCAGGGGAGGGAAGGUUUUUUUCUUGACAAGAGUUUCUUCAUGGAGGCUCCAUUUGUUGGUUUACAUAUGUCCUCGCUUCAUUCGGAAAAAGAAUUUGAGUUGGAUCAGAAAAAGAAAUUAAGUAUUUCACAAAGGGUUGGAGUGUGAUAGGGUAGGAGGGAAACUCCACGAUGAAGGAAUAACAUGAAGGCAGUAGGUAGAAGGCCGUAUUCCUCACAAUGGUUUCUGAUAGGGUCUUUUAAAAUUGGCACCGGAGGAGAAUAUUUAACAGGAAAAGAGAGUCUAAAGUGAGGAGACGCCUGAAGACAAAGGCUAUAUAUCCAAUAUGUCUGGAAACCUCAUUGGCUUUACCUUCAAAAUAUAUUCAGAAUUCAGGAAGUUCCUCAGGCAAAAAGGAAUAUGAGACCAACCAUAAACCUGGAUCUACAUCAAGAAAUGAAGAGUAUGGGAAAUGGAGUAAAACAAGUGAAACCCAACGUUCUCUAAAUAACAGUGUAAAAACUGAAUUAUAAGUCCGCAACUAAAAAUUCAGAAACUGAAAAAAAUAUAUACAAAUGGAGUAUCACUUUUCAAAAGUAAAUGAAAAGUAACUUUGCUAUUAUCAGAAGACUGAUGAGGGACUUCCCUGGUGGUGCAGUGGUUAAGAAUCCUCCUGCCAAUGCAGGGGACACGAGUUCGAUCCCUGGUCCAGGAAGAUCCUAAUGCCUUGGAGCAACUAAACCCGGGCGCCACAACUACUGAGACUGCACUCCAGAGCCCCUGAGCCACAGCUACUGAGCCCGUGCACCACAACUACUGAAGCCCGCGUGCCUAGAGCCCGUGCUCCGCAACAAGAGAAGCCACCGCAGUGAGAAGCCCGUGCACCGCAACAAAGAGUAGCCCCCGCUCGCCGCAACUAGAGAAAGCCCGUGCACAGCAACAAAGACGCAACGCAGCCAAAAAAAAAAAAAAAGUUACUUCCGGCCAAGGAGGCAUUAAUUAGAAGACUGAUGAAAUCUAGAAUAUUUUUAAAUGAACAGUUCUUAGGCUUUAAAAGAAAACCUUUAUUACUGUUAUACUUAUAGCCAUAUAAUUGCCCUAUGAAUACAUUCAUGGAAUGAAUUAUGGUACCUGCUGUGAUCUAUAAAGCAAGACAUAAAGUGUGGCAAGACGUACUUAACUUUGCUGAUGGAAUGCCAAUUCCCCUACCCCCAACAGUAAUACGCUUGAUUAGAAUGGCUUAUUAACCAUAGAUCAGAAAGCUAACAUGUACAGCAACUAAACAGUGUACUAGAUUAAAUAGUGAAUUAAUAUCCAUUAAUAUCCA
This is a long non-coding RNA of Physeter macrocephalus (sperm whale), 1442 nucleotides long. RefSeq lists it as uncharacterized. Lineage: Eukaryota; Metazoa; Chordata; Mammalia; Artiodactyla; Physeteridae. The record is from RefSeq and is a predicted model, not a curated record. The transcript has 3 exons.